ACUACGGGUGGCAGCAGUGAGGAAUAUUGGUCAAUGGCCGGAAGGCUGAACCAGACAAGUCGCGUGAGGGAAUAAGGACCUAUGGGUCGUAAACCUCUUUUGUCAGGGCGCAAAGGCGUCCACGUGUGGACGAGAGGAGAGUACCUGAAGAAAAAGCAUCGGCUAACUCCGUGCCAGCCGCCGCGGUAAUAAGGAGGAUGCGGGUGUUAUCAGGAUUUAUUGGGUUUAGCGAGUGCUGAGGCAGAGUGUCAAGUCAGGGGUACCAUUUCGGGGAUCAACCCCGUCGUGUCGUUGAAACUGACGCCCUUGAGUGAGUGAGAAGUAAGCGGAAUGCGUGGGGUAGCGGUGAAAUGCAUAGAUAUCACGCAGAACGCCGAUUGCGAAGGCAGCUUACCGGCGCUCAACUGACGCUGAGGCACGAAAGUGCGGGUAUCGAACAGGAUUAGAUACCCGAGUAGUC
RNAcentral lists this ribosomal RNA (460 nucleotides) under uncultured bacterium. Its description in RNAcentral is "partial 16S ribosomal RNA". It matches the Rfam family "Bacterial small subunit ribosomal RNA", at positions 338 to 795 of the family's 1533-position model. The record is from RNAcentral.